This 1130-nucleotide long non-coding RNA is filed under the name Ananas comosus (pineapple). Its description in RNAcentral is "long non-coding RNA (ACOM_LNC032727)". Lineage: Eukaryota; Viridiplantae; Streptophyta; Magnoliopsida; Poales; Bromeliaceae. The record is from RNAcentral.
AAUUUGGAACGAAUCGAUGUCAACGUUCACAAGAACCAAAACCGGAACAACGUUAGACUUCUCAGUUGAGCCCUAACAGUAUAACAUUGCAGCUAGUACUUUUUCUCAUUCAAUCGAACAAAGAGUAAAAACCUAAUUAUAUUGUUGUAUUAUGCCCCGAGAGUAUAAAUUUGGAACGAAUCGAUGUCAACUUUCACAAGAAGCAAAACUGGAACAACAUUAAACUACUCAGUUGCGCCCUAACAGUAUAACUUUGCAACAAGUACUUUUUCUCAUUCAACCGAACAAAGAGUAAAACCUAAUUAAAUUGUUCUAUUAUGCCCCGAGAGUGUAAAUUUGGAACGAAUCGAUGUCAAUGUUCACAAGAACCAAAACCGGAACAACAUUAGACUACUUAGUUGCGCCAUAACAGUAUAACUUUACAACAAGCACUUUUUCUCAUUCUAUCGAACAAAGAGUAAAAGCUUUCUAUUAUACCCCGAGAGUGUAAAUUUGGAACGAAUCGAUGUCAACGUUCACAAGAACCAAAAUCGGAACAACGUUAGACUACUUAGUUGAGCCCAAACAGUUUAACUUUGCAACUAGUACUUUUUCUCAUUCAAUCGAACAAAGAGAAUAACCUAAUUAAAUUAUUCUAUUUUGCCCCGAGUGUGAAAUUUGGAACGAAUCGAUGUCAACGUUCACAAGAACCAAAACGGAACAACAUUAGACUACUCAGUUGCGCCAUAACAGUAUAACUUUGCAACGAGUACUUUUUCUCAUUCUAUCAAAUAAGAAGUAAAAGCUUUCUAUUAUGCCCCGAGAGUGUAAAUUUGGAACGAAUCGAUGUCAACGUUCACAAGAACCAAAACCGGAACAACAUUAGACUUCUCAGUUGAGCCCUAACAGUAUAACAUUGCAACUAGUACUUUUUCUCAUUCAAUCGAACAAAGAGUAAAAACCUAAUUAUAUUAUUGUAUUAUGCCCCGAGAGUAUAAAUUUGGAACGAAUCGAUGUCAACUUUCACAAGAAGCAAAACCGGAACAACACUAGACUACUCAGUUGCGCCCUAACAGUAUAACUUUGCAACAAGUACUUUUUCUCAUUCAACCGAACAAAGAGUAAAACAUAAUUAAAUUGUUCUAUUAUAC